UACAGAGGGUGCGAGCGUUAUUCGGAAUUACUGGGCGUAAAGCGUGCGUAGGCGGUAAUGUAAGUCAGAUGUGAAAGCCCCGGGCUCAACCUGGGAAUUGCAUUUGAGACUGCAUUGCUUGGGUGCGGAAGAGGGAAGCGGAAUUUCCGGUGUAGCGGUGAAAUGCGUAGAUAUCGGAAGGAACACCAGUGGCGAAGGCAGCCUUCUGGGCCAACACUGACGCUCAUGCACGAAAGCGUGGGGAGCAAACAGG
RNAcentral lists this ribosomal RNA (253 nucleotides) under uncultured bacterium. RNAcentral's name for it is "partial 16S ribosomal RNA". It matches the Rfam family "Bacterial small subunit ribosomal RNA", at positions 524 to 776 of the family's 1533-position model. The record is from RNAcentral.